Molecule: long non-coding RNA, 1261 nt
Organism: Ipomoea triloba (trilobed morning glory)
Lineage: Eukaryota; Viridiplantae; Streptophyta; Magnoliopsida; Solanales; Convolvulaceae
Exons: 4
Source: RefSeq, a predicted model, not a curated record
CUCUAUACUAUCAUCUAUUACUGUGUAAUUGAACCCUUGUCAGUAAAGCUCGUUUUAUCCUAGUUGAUGAUGAAGACGAUGUCUUUCAUGUUUGCGGUUGGUUUGAUCCCUUUGGACCUCUAGUUGUAUUUCCUACUCGUUGAAUUUCAUGAAAUAAUGUGUAAUUCUGUUGUUUGGUGAUCUUUAAUGUUUGGAAUUUUGACAGUCCUGGAUAAUUUUUAAAGGUCUUUGGUGAGUUUGAUUUUUGGUUUUCAAGGAACAAUGAAUGAAUUUUUGUGCAUGAGAAAUCUGCUAGGGUUACAUUCUCAUUAUGUGUUGUUGAUGAAUGAAGCACACCAUUUGGCUUUGACUGGAAUAUCAGUAGAUUAGAAUAAGAUGUUUGGGGAUUUCUGAAAUUUUAUUGUUGAUAUGCUUGCUAAUAUUAUUCGUUUAAUUACAAGUUUUUUUGUUGGUUGUGGUGUUGUUCAUUCUGGUUGAAUAAUUCUCUGAUAUUUCUUCAACAGUUAAAAGAAUGUGAUUAUGGUAAAUGUAGCAAUAUCUCACUAUCUCAGCUUUAAUUGCUUUGUCUACUGAUUAAAUUUUUGUGCUGGGCAAGGGCAAUAAAGGGUUAGGAGUUAGUUUUAGAUUGUGCUAUUUGAACUUUGAACCAUCAACCUGUUCUGUUAAAAGAUGAGGAUGAUCCAUGUGUUGUCAGAAGUAGAAAUAGUGAGUAUUUGAUCAUAUUAUUUCUGCAAGCAUUGAACCCAGUUCGAACAGCUGCUGCACUAUAUUGUUGAUGAACCUCUUGACCAUGCGGAUAGCAAACGGACAUUCAAGUUUCCAUUCAUUGCCUGUGAGAUAUUCACGGGUGAAAUUGAUGUUAUCCUUAAAACUCUGGUUGAAGAGGAAGAGUUAAUGAAUUUACUCUUUUCCUUUCUGGAAUCAAUCCGUCCUCAUAGUGCAUUGCUGGCUGGAUAUUUUAGCAAGGUUGUGGUAUGUCUAAUGCUGCGGAAGACUAUUCCGCUUAUGAAUUAUGUAAAGGUGGGUACUAAUGCUGGGCACGCCUAAAGCAUUGCAAUUUUCUUGACGGUAAACUGAGUUUCUUGUGUGUUUUGUGUACUCUGCAUUUCAAAUAUGGAGCUGCUCCAAUAUUAAUGAUUCAUUUAUCUGGUACUUUCAUGUUUUUGUGUUUUAUUUACUAGUUUUUAAUUUUCUUUGAAUUGGUUAUUGUUGACUGUGAUAGAAGCCCUAGUAAUUUUAAUGAAGCCACAAUUUGAUUACA